UUUUGAGUCGAGCCGAGCUCGAGCUCUAAACGAGCCGAUUGAAAUUCUCGAUAUUAUAUAAUCAAUAGUUUAAUUUUUAUAGAACAUUACCUACAAUUUAAUGCAACAUGUUCAAUAGUUCAAAAUACAAAAUAAUUAUAAAAAAUGUGAGCUAUGGUGACUUCCUGACUGGAGGGUCUGAGAGAGAGAGAGGAAAAAAAGUAUGGAUUUGAAAAUUUGAAUGUUAUCAUUUUUAGGGUAUGUGCAACAGUAAAAGUCUAAAAGAGAUAGUGUGUUAUGUAAAUUUAGAGUUGGGCUCAAUUGCACGGUUGUACUUAUUGGGUUUAUUUUAUGGGCCAACAAUAAUAGCCCAAAUUAAAUUAAAGCUUAUAUAUAUAUAUAUAUAUAUAGUCCGACUGCUAUACUUUUAUGAGUAUUGGCUGCUUUAUACUCAUAAGUUUUUGACCCUUAGAUUUAUUCCAUAAUCAUUUUCAUCCGUUAGAUCAUACUAUUUAACCAACUACCCACUCAACCCUAGGGGACCGCCAUCAUCCUAACCACACAUCCCAUCAAUCAACGGUUAAAAAUUUAUAAGUACAAGGGGGUCUAUACUCAUAAGAGUAUAGUAGCCCCAGCCUAUAUAGAGUCCGACUGCUAUACUUUUAUGAGUAUUGGCUACUUUAUACUCAUAAGUUUUCGACCCUUAAAUUUAUUUCAUUAAUCAUUUUCAUCCGUUAGAUCAUACUAUUUAACCAACUAUUUCGAGCCUAAUUCGAACGAGCCGAGUAAUACUCAAGCUCAGCUUGAAAUGAAUUUCGAGCCUUUUAUUUUGUUCAAGCUCGGCUCAUUUAAUUUCGAGUUGAGCUCGAGCGAGCCGAAUAUCGAGCCGAACACGAGUCGAACGCGAGCCGGCUCGCUCGUUUGCCAGCCCUAGUUGUGGGGUUUGUGGAUUAUUAUUAUUACUAGUGUAAUGACCCGCUCUUUGCGGCGGGAGGUCGUAACAUUGAGAGCUAA
This 993-nucleotide long non-coding RNA is filed under the name Ananas comosus (pineapple). RNAcentral describes it as "long non-coding RNA (ACOM_LNC028827)". Lineage: Eukaryota; Viridiplantae; Streptophyta; Magnoliopsida; Poales; Bromeliaceae. The record is from RNAcentral.